This 708-nucleotide ribosomal RNA is filed under the name fungal sp. Its description in RNAcentral is "eukaryotic LSU rRNA". The stretch from base 151 to 304 matches the Rfam family "5.8S ribosomal RNA". Lineage: Eukaryota; Fungi. The record is from RNAcentral.
CGAACGUUAGAUUUCUUGUUUGCCGUCCCUGUAACUCCUAUCGUUGCCUCGGCGGAUCAGCCCGCGCCCCGUAAAACGGGACGGCCCGCCCGAGGACCCCUAAACUCUGUUUUUAGUGGAACUUCUGAGUAAAACAAACAAAUAAAUCAAAACUUUCAACAACGGAUCUCUUGGUUCUGGCAUCGAUGAAGAACGCAGCAAAAUGCGAUAAGUAAUGUGAAUUGCAGAAUUCAGUGAAUCAUCGAAUCUUUGAACGCACAUUGCGCCCGCCAGUAUUCUGGCGGGCAUGCCUGUUCGAGCGUCAUUUCAACCCUCAAGCUCAGCUUGGUGUUGGGACUCGCGGUAACCCGCGUUCCCCAAAUCGAUUGGCGGUCACGUCGAGCUUCCAUAGCGUAGUAAUCAUACACCUCGUUACUGGUAAUCGUCGCGGCCACGCCGUAAAACCCCAACUUCUGAAUGUUGACCUCGGAUCAGGUAGGAAUACCCGCUGAACUUAAGCAUAUCAAUAAGCGGAGGAAUUUAAAAAACGAAUUUUCUCGACCAAACUCUGGCCAACUUUCCUCAUCCAUUGCACAAGAAAUAAUCCAGCCUUCACACGGGAGGCCGCGGGGGACCUGUACUCUGUCUGUUAUCGGUACUUCUUUGUUGACAAAAAAAAUAAAUCAAAAAUUUCACAACGAUCUUUGGGUUCUUGCAUCUAUGAAGUAG